AGGACGUACGCUGGCGUCGUGCCUAAUACAUGCAAGUCGAGCGGACAGAUGGGAGCUUGCUCCCUGAUGUUAGCGGCGGACGGGUGAGUAACACGUGGGUAACCUGCCUGUAAGACUGGGAUAACUCCGGGAAACCGGGGCUAAUACCGGAUGGUUGUUUGAACCGCAUGGUUCAAACAUAAAAGGUGGCUUCGGCUACCACUUACAGAUGGACCCGCGGCGCAUUAGCUAGUUGGUGAGGUAACGGCUCACCAAGGCAACGAUGCGUAGCCGACCUGAGAGGGUGAUCGGCCACACUGGGACUGAGACACGGCCCAGACUCCUACGGGAGGCAGCAGUAGGGAAUCUUCCGCAAUGGACGAAAGUCUGACGGAGCAACGCCGCGUGAGUGAUGAAGGUUUUCGGAUCGUAAAGCUCUGUUGUUAGGGAAGAACAAGUACCGUUCGAAUAGGGCGGUACCUUGACGGUACCUAACCAGAAAGCCACGGCUAACUACGUGCCAGCAGCCGCGGUAAUACGUAGGUGGCAAGCGUUGUCCGGAAUUAUUGGGCGUAAAGGGCUCGCAGGCGGUUUCUUAAGUCUGAUGUGAAAGCCCCCGGCUCAACCGGGGAGGGUCAUUGGAAACUGGGGAACUUGAGUGCAGAAGAGGAGAGUGGAAUUCCACGUGUAGCGGUGAAAUGCGUAGAGAUGUGGAGGAACACCAGUGGCGAAGGCGACUCUCUGGUCUGUAACUGACGCUGAGGAGCGAAAGCGUGGGGAGCGAACAGGAUUAGAUACCCUGGUAGUCCACGCCGUAAACGAUGAGUGCUAAGUGUUAGGGGGUUUCCGCCCCUUAGUGCUGCAGCUAACGCAUUAAGCACUCCGCCUGGGGAGUACGGUCGCAAGACUGAAACUCAAAGGAAUUGACGGGGGCCCGCACAGCGGUGGAGCAUGUGGUUUAAUUUCGAAGCAACGCGAAAAACCUU
RNAcentral lists this ribosomal RNA (965 nucleotides) under Bacillus subtilis. RNAcentral describes it as "bacterial SSU rRNA". It matches the Rfam family "Bacterial small subunit ribosomal RNA", at positions 26 to 972 of the family's 1533-position model. Lineage: Bacteria; Bacillati; Bacillota; Bacilli; Caryophanales; Bacillaceae. The record is from RNAcentral.